ACAGAACGACCCGCGAACAUGUAAUAAUCAACCGGGCACCUAGUGAUUGGCGCUUUGUUUGAUCUUCUCGGUGCCUUGUCGGCGUGCGUUUUCCGCUCCUUAGGGACGCUGUAGAUGUCUCGUUGGUGUACUAACCAACCCCGGCACGGUACGUGCCAAGGAAAAACUAAACUUAAGAAGGCUUGUUUCAUAUUUGCCCCGUUCGCGGUGUGAUCAUGGAAUGUGACUUCUUUUAACAUAAACGACUCUCGGCAACGGAUAUCUCGGCUCACGCAUCGAUGAAGAACGUAGCAAAAUGCGAUACUUGGUGUGAAUUGCAGAAUCCCGUGAACCAUCGAGUUUUUGAACGCAAGUUGCGCCCGAAGCCAUUUGGCCGAGGGCACGUCUGCCUGGGCGUCACACAUCGCUUCGCCCCCCACUACUAGAUCCGGGAUGUUUGGUGUUGGGGCGGAUUGGUCUCCCGUGUCUUUGAUGCGGUUGGCCAAAUAGGAUUCCCUUCGGUGACGCACAACUAGUGGUGGUCGAUAAACCCUCGUCUUUUGUUUUGUGUCGUUCGCUGCAAGGAAAACUCUAUAAAAACCCAAUGUGUUGGCUUAUGAUGACGCUUCGACCGCGACCCAGGUCAGGCGGGACUACCCGUUGAGUUUAAACAUAUCAAUA
Molecule: ribosomal RNA, 660 nt
Filed under: Asplenium haughtonii
Lineage: Eukaryota; Viridiplantae; Streptophyta; Polypodiopsida; Polypodiales; Aspleniaceae
Description: eukaryotic LSU rRNA
Rfam family: 5.8S ribosomal RNA (bases 244-399)
Source: RNAcentral